UCCAAUUGCACAUUCCCUCAACUUCUGACAUCUGUAGCAUUGUGUUGUGACAACUGCACAUUUUAGUGGCCUAUUUAUUAACAUCUCAAGGAUGAUCAAUGGAAACAGGAUGCACCUGAGCUCAAUUUCAAGUCUCAUAGCAAAGGAUCUGAAUACUCAUGUUUUAAGAUCCUGAACAAGUCAUCAUGAGAGAGGAACUUUGGUCGUGGCCGUGUUUACAAGACAGCUGGUUGAGAAGAAGGGAGUCAAGAAAACUGUGGUAGACAACAUCAAGGUGUGCAGCAACGACGCUGGUUCAACCGCAUCUGCAAUACGGUGCGAUGGUCCUGUAAACCCACCAUCGGGGACAAGUUCGCCAUCCAGAAGGGCAUCCUGAACCGCCUGUGGCCUGCCGAGGACAUGCCCUUCACAGAGAGCGGCAUGACCACC
Oncorhynchus tshawytscha (Chinook salmon) is the source of this 429-nucleotide long non-coding RNA. NCBI's taxonomy places the organism in Eukaryota, Metazoa, Chordata, Actinopteri, Salmoniformes, Salmonidae. The record is from Ensembl.